AUUGAACGCUGGCGGCGUGCUUAACACAUGCAAGUCGAGCGGUAAGGCCCUUUCGGGGGUACACGAGCGGCGAACGGGUGAGUAACACGUGGGUGACCUGCCCUCAGCUCUGGGAUAAGCCUGGGAAACCGGGUCUAAUACUGGAUAUGACUCCAUGACGCAUGUUGUGGGGUGGAAAGCCUUGUGCGGCUGAGGAUGGGCCCGCGGCCUAUCAGCUUGUUGGUGGGGNGAUGGCCUACCAAGGCGACGACGGGUAGCCGGCCUGAGAGGGCGACCGGCCACACUGGGACUGAGACACGGCCCAGACUCCUACGGGAGGCAGCAGUGGGGAAUCUUGCGCAAUGGGCGAAAGCCUGACGCAGCGACGCCGCGUGAGGGAUGACGGCCUGGUGUAAC
RNAcentral lists this ribosomal RNA (396 nucleotides) under uncultured bacterium. Its description in RNAcentral is "bacterial SSU rRNA". It matches the Rfam family "Bacterial small subunit ribosomal RNA", at positions 28 to 429 of the family's 1533-position model. The record is from RNAcentral.